This 797-nucleotide long non-coding RNA is filed under the name Rhinopithecus bieti (black snub-nosed monkey). Its description in RNAcentral is "lncRNA (ENSRBIG00000045427.1)". The record is from RNAcentral. Lineage: Eukaryota; Metazoa; Chordata; Mammalia; Primates; Cercopithecidae.
UUUUUACUUUAUUAUCAAGUUGAUGAGAAAAAAAAUAUUGUUUUGUUAUUUGUUGUUUUGCUUAGGUUGUAGUUUCCAAGAACCUAUCAACAACAUUAAAUGAGGAUUUACAGUACUGCUUCUGCCAUCUUUCUCAUGGUACUUGUUUGUCAAAGGAAGAAGUGGUGGAGGAGAACUUUCAGGAAGGCACCAUUGGUCUUGAGCUGGAAGCCCGCCUUUUAGUUUUGAAGAGAGAAGAGGUGGAGGAGGAUGUGUGCUCCUUGAAGACGUGCUCACAGAAUCUAACUUGCUGUGGAGCGGUGAGAGGGCUCGACGAGGAUGCCAAUGGCCUUCAGAUGUCUCUGGCUCCUGUCACGGCUGUGUGAAGAAGACGUUGAGGUGUGAACUGAAAGUCGUUAUUCCUCCCUCGAGCUUGACUGUUGGAUUACCCAGAGGAGCCCAGUGUCCUGCAAUGAAUGGGUAUAUUAUGCCUUCCAUUAAAAGUUGUGGCUCUUAAUUAAAAACGUGAUCGUGAGUCUUUACGGAGACAUUGUUUAGGUUUUCUUUAGCUGUUAACACAUAAUAAAUCAUUUUAAAAGGACCGUUUCCCCUAUCUUUUAAUGGUUAGUGCAUUUUUAAAAAGUGAUUUGAAAAUAAAACUGGGAUUAAAUUUAGUGUUUGACAAGGUGCUAAGGGGCUCACCACCUCUGCCAGGAUAAGAAAAGGGGGCUUUACUUCAUUUGCUACUGACCUUCUUGUUUUCCUGGCUCUAGCCUGGCUUGAUCGAUUCAGAUGGCAGGGUGACUUUGGUGUCAGAA